This 265-nucleotide ribosomal RNA is filed under the name uncultured Staphylococcus sp. RNAcentral describes it as "partial 16S ribosomal RNA". It matches the Rfam family "Bacterial small subunit ribosomal RNA", at positions 514 to 778 of the family's 1533-position model. The record is from RNAcentral. Lineage: Bacteria; Bacillati; Bacillota; Bacilli; Caryophanales; Staphylococcaceae.
GCCGCGGUAAUACGUAGGUGGCAAGCGUUAUCCGGAAUUAUUGGGCGUAAAGCGCGCGUAGGCGGUUUUUUAAGUCUGAUGUGAAAGCCCACGGCUCAACCGUGGAGGGUCAUUGGAAACUGGAAAACUUGAGUGCAGAAGAGGAAAGUGGAAUUCCAUGUGUAGCGGUGAAAUGCGCAGAGAUAUGGAGGAACACCAGUGGCGAAGGCGACUUUCUGGUCUGUAACUGACGCUGAUGUGCGAAAGCGUGGGGAUCAAACAGGAU